GGAUAUUACCACAAUUGUCUACACCUAUUGAUUCUCCAGUACACGUGGUGGAAAGCACGGUCACCAAAUUGGCAUAUUACAGAUACAUACAGACACUAGUCACAGAACAAAGAGCACAUGAAACAGGAACUGUGGAAUAACACUACGUUCCCAAAGAAAACAUGACUGUGAUAGAUCACAGAAUGAAAGCCCCAGAGCACACAGCAGAGAAGUACAGCAACUGGAGUCAACAUUUACAGAAAACCCUGUACGAAGACUAUGGCACUACCAACUGAUCAACAUCCAGGGUGAGAAGGGCCCAUCACCUGCACAUAAAUAUUUGGAGAGUGGCGACAACCUGAAGACAGCUAGCUGCAAAGUGAUAUUCCAGAAUAAGUUUUGAAGCUCCAGAUGGUGAGAGAUUAUGGUGUUUACAAGUAUAAUUGGGGGAUAAAAGAAAGUUAUCAAAUUGUAGAGGCAAUCUCUAGGUGCUGAAGGAUUAUGGACUCCCCCAUGAAUUGAAGGUUAGUUCAGGAAAGUUCUUUAUUCUAAGUCUGGAGAUGCCUUCAAAUCAGAGCAGCAUAGAAAGGAAGAGUAAGUCUGGAGUUGGUGGGGUAGUCUGGUGCACAGACAGAGAGAAAGGACUUGGCUUUCUUGGAGAUCAUGUGAGCUGAUAGAAUAGCUCUUACAGUGAACACAGUAAGUACCAAUAAGAUUGAACAAACUAGGAAAACCCAGUGAAGAAAAAGGGUCCUCUG
RNAcentral lists this long non-coding RNA (737 nucleotides) under Macaca mulatta (Rhesus monkey). RNAcentral's name for it is "lncRNA (ENSMMUG00000054841.1)". Lineage: Eukaryota; Metazoa; Chordata; Mammalia; Primates; Cercopithecidae. The record is from RNAcentral.